This 398-nucleotide ribosomal RNA is filed under the name uncultured bacterium. RNAcentral describes it as "partial 16S ribosomal RNA". It matches the Rfam family "Bacterial small subunit ribosomal RNA", at positions 362 to 775 of the family's 1533-position model. The record is from RNAcentral.
UCUUCCGCAAUGGGCGAAAGCCUGACGGAGCAAUGCCGCGUGGAGGCGGAAGGCCUACGGGUNGUCAACUUCUUUUCUCGGAGAANNCCNNNUNACGGUAUCGGAGGAAUAAGCAUCAGCUAACUCUGUGNNNGNAGCCGCGGUAAGACAGAGGAUGCAAGCGUUAUCCGGAAUGAUUGGGCGUAAAGCUUCUGUAGGUGGCUUUUUAAGUUCGCCGUCAAAUCCCAGGGCUCAACCCUGGACAGGCGGUGGAAACUACCAAGCUGGAGUACGGUAGGGGCAGGGGGAAUUUCCGGUGGAGCGGUGAAAUGCGUAGAGAUCGGAAAGAACACCAACGGCGAAAGCACUCUGCUGGGCCGACACUGACACUGAGAGACGAAAGCUAGGGGAGCGAAUGG